This 258-nucleotide long non-coding RNA is filed under the name Zostera marina. RNAcentral's name for it is "long non-coding RNA (ZMAR_LNC003131)". Lineage: Eukaryota; Viridiplantae; Streptophyta; Magnoliopsida; Alismatales; Zosteraceae. The record is from RNAcentral.
UUGAUUCACUAUUAGAAUCUGACUCCUGUCGGGGCUACGAAUUCACUAUUAGAAUCCGAUCUUAACCCGGACUACGGAAUCUAACCUGCAAAAAAGGAAAACACUCUGCAAAACAACUAGAUUAGUCCAUAAACGCAUAUAUUAAUUAUUGAACUUACCUGCGAUUUACCUCUCGUGAAGUCCCUCCUUUGCUCAAUAAAUCCUUGGUGAAACUGGCCAAAGCGACAGAUUUCACCAUGCUCAAAUUUUUCGACGACU